AUUGAACGCUGGCGGCAAGCCUAACACAUGCAAGUCGAACGAGUGGCGGACGGGUGAGUAAUGUCUGGGAAACUGCCUGAUGGAGGGGGAUAACUACUGGAAACGGUAGCUAAUACCGCAUACCAUCGGAUGUGCCCAUAUGGGAUUAGCUAGUGGGUGGGGUAAAGGCUCACCUAGGCGACGAUCCCUAGCUGGUCUGAGAGGAGGACCAGCCACACUGGAACUGAGACACGGUCCAGACUCCUACGGGAGGAAGCAGUGGGGAAUAUUGCACAAUGGGGGAAAGCCUGAUGCAGCCAUGCCGCGUGUAUGAAGAAGGCCUGCGGGUUGUAAAGUACUUUCAGCGGGGAGGCGUUACCCGCAGAAGAAGCACCGGCUAACUACGUGCCAGCAGCCGCGGUAAUUC
This 406-nucleotide ribosomal RNA is filed under the name uncultured bacterium. RNAcentral's name for it is "partial 16S ribosomal RNA". It matches the Rfam family "Bacterial small subunit ribosomal RNA", at positions 30 to 526 of the family's 1533-position model. The record is from RNAcentral.